GUGAGGAAUAUUGGUCAAUGGACGAGAGUCUGAACCAGCCAAGUCGCGUGAAGGAAGACGGUUCUAUGAAUUGUAAACUUCUUUUGUGCAGGAAUAAAGUGGGUUACGUGUAACCUUUUGUAUGUACUGUACGAAUAAGGAUCGGCUAACUCCGUGCCAGCAGCCGCGGUAAUACGGAGGAUCCGAGCGUUAUCCGGAUUUAUUGGGUUUAAAGGGUGCGAAGGUGGAUUGAUAAGUCAGCGGUGAAAGUUUGCAGCUUAACUGUAAAAUUGACGUUGAAACGGUCGGUCUUGAGUGCAAAUGAGGUAGGCGGAAUGUGUUGUGUAGCGGUGAAAUGCUUAGAUAUAACACAGAACUCCGAUUGCGAAGGCAGCUUACUGGGAUGCAACUGACACUGAUGCACGAAAGCGUGGGUAUCAAACAGGAUUAGAAACCCCAGUAGUCC
RNAcentral lists this ribosomal RNA (445 nucleotides) under uncultured bacterium. RNAcentral describes it as "partial 16S ribosomal RNA". It matches the Rfam family "Bacterial small subunit ribosomal RNA", at positions 354 to 796 of the family's 1533-position model. The record is from RNAcentral.